Molecule: small nuclear RNA, 104 nt
Filed under: Ovis aries (sheep)
Lineage: Eukaryota; Metazoa; Chordata; Mammalia; Artiodactyla; Bovidae
Source: RNAcentral
CUGACUUCGGCAACACAUAUACUAAAAUUGGAAUGAUACAGAGAAGAUUAGCAUGGCCCCUGUGCAAGGAUGACAAACAAAUUUAUGAAGCAUUCCAUAUUUUU